RNAcentral lists this ribosomal RNA (406 nucleotides) under uncultured bacterium. RNAcentral's name for it is "partial 16S ribosomal RNA". It matches the Rfam family "Bacterial small subunit ribosomal RNA", at positions 30 to 526 of the family's 1533-position model. The record is from RNAcentral.
AUUGAACGCUGGCGGCAGGCCUAACACAUGCAAGUCGAACGAGUGGCGGACGGGUGAGUAAUGUCUGGGAAACUGCCCGAUGGAGGGGGAUAACUACUGGAAACGGUAGCUAAUACCGCAUACCAUCGGAUGUGCCCAGAUGGGAUGAGCUAGUAGGUGGGGUAACGGCUUACCUAGGCGACGAUCCCUAGCUGGUCUGAGAGGAUGACCAGCCACACUGGGACUGAGACACGGUCCAGACUCCUACGGGAGGCAGCAGUGGGGAAUAUUGCACAAUGGGCGCAAGCCUGAUGCAGCCAUGCCGCGUGUAUGAAGAAGGCCUUCGGGUUGUAAAGUACUUUCAGUGGGGAGGCGUUACCCACAGAAGAAGCACCGGCUAACUCCGUGCCAGCAGCCGCGGUAAUAC